Molecule: ribosomal RNA, 515 nt
Filed under: uncultured bacterium
Lineage: Bacteria
Description: partial 16S ribosomal RNA
Rfam family: Bacterial small subunit ribosomal RNA
Source: RNAcentral
GAUGAACGCUGGCGGCGUGCCUAAUACAUGCAAGUCGAGCGAAUGGAUUAAGAGCUUGCUCUUAUGAAGUUAGCGGCGGACGGGUGAGUAACACGUGGGUAACCUGCCCAUAAGACUGGGAUAACUCCGGGAAACCGGGGCUAAUACCGGAUAACAUUUUGAACCGCAUGGUUCGAAAUUGAAAGGCGGCUUCGGCUGUCACUUAUGGAUGGACCCGCGUCGCAUUAGCUAGUUGGUGAGGUAACGGCUCCCCAAGGCAACGAUGCGUAGCCGACCUGGGAGCGUGAUCGGCCACACUGGGAGUGAGACACGGCCCAGACUCCUACGGGAGGCAGCAGUAGUGAAUCUGCCGCAAUGGACGAAAGUCUGACGGAGCAACGCCGCGUGAGUGAGGAAGGCUUUCGGGGCGUAAAACUCUGUUGUUAGGGAAGGACAAGUGCUAGUUGAAUAAGCUGGCACCUUGACGGUACCUAACCAGAAAGCCACGGCUAACUACGUGCCAGCAGCCGCCGCAG